GUAUUACCAAGAGUUCCCUGCAAGCACUUUACGAAGCACCUUUCCAAGGGCUUAUGUGAAGUGUUUGGGGGAACUCUCGGUGUAUC
Molecule: non-coding RNA, 86 nt
Organism: Triticum urartu
Lineage: Eukaryota; Viridiplantae; Streptophyta; Magnoliopsida; Poales; Poaceae
Source: Rfam